This 18351-nucleotide long non-coding RNA is filed under the name Triticum aestivum (bread wheat). RNAcentral's name for it is "long non-coding RNA (TAES_LNC004867)". The record is from RNAcentral. Lineage: Eukaryota; Viridiplantae; Streptophyta; Magnoliopsida; Poales; Poaceae.
CCAAAAGUCGCUUUACAAGUCUAUUCAACAACUGAGAUCUGUAAGUUGUCUGCCUCAUGCUUUUCUACGGAAACAUUUGCCUCCUCUUAUCAGUUUCCUGUUGGCAGCAAUUUAUUCUUAGGACAAUAAUUUAAUGCCGUGUUUGAGGCAGGCAGUUAUUCUCAACUAAGUAAAAUAUCUUAGUAAUUAACAAAAUGGGUUUGCCAUGUUGCACCUUGAGUGUAAGUAUUCAAAUCUUACUGAGUAAGCUCCAUUCAGCAGAUAUAACUUAUAAGUGUGGAACUAUUAGCAGUGUCAAAUCCUGGACGGAACCCGUUCAUUACGACCAGGAACCAGAAAUCCUGGUCGGUGCUGGGAGAAUAAAUCCUGAUAUGUAAAUUAAAAAUUCUGAAUUCAGUCAGUGAACUAUACACCUGGCCCAGAGCCAGUUAGGAAGUGGUCCAAGUAAAAAAUUGUUCUAAUUUGACAAAUCAAACUGGAAUCGGAAGGUUUUAGGCUUAGUAGAACUAAACCAUGAGGUGCAGUUUUAGUACUACUAGGCACGAGGAGGAGGUUAGCCGUGAUGGGCAGGUGGUACCUCAGAAGGACACCUUUCGAUAUUUGGGGUCAAUGCUGUAGAAGGAUGGUGAUAUCGAUGAAGAUUUGAGCCAUUGAAUCAAGGCCGGAUGGAUGAAGUGGUGCCAAGCUUCUGGUGUUCUCUGUGACAAGAGAGUGCCACAAAAGCUAAAAGGCAGGUUCUAUCGGGUGGCGAUUCGACCUGCAGUGUUGUAUGGUGCUGAGUGUUGGCCGACCAAAAGGCGACAUGUUCAACAGUUAGUGUAGCGGAGAUGCGCAUGUUGAGAUGGAUGUGUGGCCACACAAGGAAGGAUGUCCGGAAUGAUAAUAUACGGGAUAGAGUUGGGGUAGCACCGAUUGAAGAGAAGCUUGUCCAACAUCGUCUGCGAUGGUUUGGGCAUAUUCAACGCAUGCCUCCAGAAACUCCAGUGCAUAGCGGAUGACUAAAGCGUUCUGAUAAUGUCAAGAGAGGUCGGGUUAGAUCAAAAUUGACAUGGGAGGAGUCCGAAAAGAGGGACUGCAGUAUCACCAAAGAUCUAGCCAUGGACAGGGGUGCGUGGAAGUUGGCUAUCCACGUGCCGGAUCCAUGAGUUGGUUGCGAGAUCUUAUGCGUUUGAGCUCUAGCCUAGCCCAACUUGUUUGGGACUAAAGGCUUUGUUGUUGUUGACAAAUCAAACUGUCCAGUAGAUACCCAAUGGUGCAGGCUAUGAUUGAUGGUCCACAGUUUGUGAAGCAGGAUUUGGAACAUUCCACAAUAGGACAACUUGAUGUUAGAGCUCAUAAUAGAACUUGUUUUUAGAACACACAUAUGGUAUUGGUACUUAACAUACAGUAUGGUUCUUUAUCUAAUGACAUAUACAUCUAAUACUUGUAUGUGCUCCCGUGAACUUGGAAUUGCAGAUUGGUGGCAGCGGAGUCUUGGUGUCGAAACUGACCUACAUAUUUGACGAGGAGACUCCUAGGUGGCGCAAACUUCUCUCUGAGCUGGGAAUGUGAGACUUGCUGCAAGGUCGGCCAUGCCCUCCGCUAGAAUGGACCGUCUCAGUGAGCAUCUGAACUUAUGCUCGCUGUAGUGUGUACAUCAUACACAGAAGCGACCCGAGUUUGAAAAAAAAACCCGUAUGCAAAGUGAGCUCCCAUGUGGAUUGCCUGAGGAGAUUUCGAUAUCUAGCGCCGGAUAUUGUGCUCAGCUAACGUAUUCCCUGGACAGGCAGUGGUUGGUUUAUCCCUUUUAUGUGCCACCAGUCGAUAGGGUUGGGGGUCCGGGAUGUUGGGUGUAUGUUGUUUGUGUGUGCCGGAUCUUGCACCUUUUGUUGGUGCGGCCCUGAAUAAUUGGGGCUACCUGAUAUGAUGACAAUAAUGAAUCCCAUUGUGGUUUGGUCUCCGUGGUGUGGCUAGCCUAUUCGAUUCCCAUCUGAAAUGCUCGUGUCUUGCUGUUCUCAUCCCAUUCGGAAUUGAUUGUCACAUCCAUGUCUAUCUGUCUCUUUUCUGUAUAUCUCUUCCAUGUCUUCUUUGAGAAAUGGUUCGUAAUGAUCCUGUUGGAGAAUAGUUCUGUAUCUCAUCCACGUCGCAUCGUGAUCUUUGAAAGAAACAAAAAUUAAUUCCACGCAUCUGGGAUUUUUGUCAAAUUACUGCCCACUUUAAUAAACAUGAAAAGAAAAUCAUUGUAGAUCACGGUUCGUUUGAACAGCGUUGGUAUUUCGUAGGAAAGACUUCUCUAAAGAUGCAAGGAAUGUAUUUGUCACGUUUAUGUUAAAUAAGUAGUAGAAGUUUAACAAUGGGUACUAGGGCGAAGGUCAAAACAGAAUGCCUAAUGUCCAAGUAUAAAUUUAUUCCCUCCGUCCCAUAAUGUAAGACGUUUUUGCAAGCUAAACAUAACUUGUAAAAACAUCAUAUAUUGUAGGAGAGAGGUAUUAGAUUGGAGGAGCAAGUGUGCUGCCGUCUCCGGAGUUCUGUUGCACGAAGGGCAAACUCCAGACUUUGGCUAUCCAUGCCUGGCAGCCGAUCCGCCGCCCAAACUCAUUUUUGAGCACGUUUGAGUUCCGUUUCUCAACGGGGCAUACAUUGUUUGGACACCUUUCUGGUCAAACGCCCAAACAGACCACACUCAUCGGUCCAUCAACAUCCAACAGCCAUUGUGCGUGCAUUGUUCCUCUUCAUCCUCUCUUUCUUGUUUCUCCUCCUGCGACAGUUCCUCCUCUCCCCCCUCACGCGUGACCAAUCACUUGCCUUCGUUCCCCAUGGUCGGUCGACGCAGUUGCGCACCGCCUCACCCUACCUCGACCUUCCCCCGCCCACCGUCGUGUUGGCCGUUGCCUCCGGCCAUCCCUCUAAGCCACCCCCCCGAAUGAACAGCUCCGGCAACACCUGCACCUCCCCUCCCCGCCCUCGCGUCAAGUUUUGAACUCGCUCCCGCCGGUUAUCGCUUGCCGCUCGUCCACGGCUCAGCCUCGCUAUGGCCGGCGUUCCUCAUGCCAUCCCCACCUUCGGCCUCGCGCUUCGCAGAAAAAGUGACUUCCGUGAUAUUUUUUUUCGAGGUAUCUAAUGUUCAGCAAACCCAACCAUGAAAAACUCUGCCAUUCCUUUAAGAUUCAGGAGAACAUAAAACCACAAAACUGUUGCUGAGGUGGGAGUGCAACCCAAAAGCCAAAACACGUGCACAUUUACACACGACAAGCAACGGUGUACUAUUGCACACUCCACACACAAUCUCUUAUAGAUUUUUGUUCUGCAAUUUUGUACACCAUGUGGAACCUCACUGAGUCACUCUCACGCUCACACCUGAUGGGUUACAUUACAUAGCACAGACAUCACACACGUUAGAAAGAAACUCAACACUGAGCCGCGCUCGGCGCACGUACAUUUUACGCCGGCAGCUUUAAUUAUUCACUUUCGUGAAGCACGGGGUCACGGGCUACGAACUACUUACUGUAGUAGGGACGGUGGGUGGGGUCGAUCGGCCGGCCAUGGCGCGACCGCGACGAGCACAUCACGCGUCGCGCCUCGGGCGCACCCGGACCUGGAGCGGCGCCGCCAUCUCGCACGACAGGCGGAGCACCUCCGACAGGUCGACGCCGGGCGCCGCCGGCGCCCACUCGAACUCGUGCAGCAGGGUGGCCAUCCAGGCGGUCACGGUGGUCAUGGCCAGGGACUUGCCCGGGCAGCUCCUCCGGCCGGACCCGAACGGCACGAGCCGGCCGUCGGCGCCGAGCACGGACACGUCCGGGGCCUCGCCGCCGGCCAGGAACCGCUCGGGCCGGAACUCGAGCGGCGCGUCCCACACCUCCGGGUCGCGGCUCAUGGCCCACUGGUUCACCAUGGCGGUCGUGCCGGCGGGGACGAGGUGGCCGUCCACGUACGUGUCGGUGAUCGCCCUGUGGCGCCACGACAGCAGCGGCCCCGGUGGGUGCACGCGGAGGGCCUCCUUGAUCAGCGCCUGCAGGUACGGCAGCGCCGGCAGGGACGGCUCGGCGACCGGGCUGCUCCGGCCGACCACCUCGUCGAGCUCGCGGUGCACCUUGGCCUGCACGUCGCGGUGGAGCACGAGCCGCGCCAUGGCCCACUCCAUCAGCACCGCCAUGGCGUCCGUUCCCCUGAAGAUCAUCUCCUGGAAAAAAAACAGCCGCCAUUUUCUUGUAUAACUCCUCCUAGUGCUCUAUCCAUUAAAAUGAUUCGGAACUAAACAAAGAAGAAAAGGCUGGUGGAAUUUUGCAUGGACGCUAGCUAGCUUUUAAAAAGUGCUACGCUCAUUGGCCGCUUUGCCAAGAUUAUUAUUAUCACAACAAAAGUAGUAGGAGUGAUCUGCAUACGUAAUACUACUCCAAAUGGAACCGAUGCCAUGCUGAUAAUUUAUGUGUGUGUUAAUUUGGUGAAAAAGUUGUAUUUGUUGCUCAUGAUGAUAUGCUACGUACGUACGUACGUACCCAGAGCACUGCGGCGAUGUCGGCGUCGGCGAGCCCCUCGCUGUCCUGCAGGGAAAGCAAUAUAUCGACGAAGUCGCGCGGCACCUCUCCUCCGGCGGCGGCGGUCGUCGCCUUGGCGCGGUGCUCCCGGAUGAUGCCGUGCACGAAGCGGUUCACCCGCGGCAUGAGCUCGGCGCACCGGGCCCCGAUGCCCUGCGGGUCGACGGCGGCGAGCCCCGGGAAGUAGUCGCACCAGUUCUCCUUCCCCAGGAGCUCGUACCCUUCGUGCACCAUCUCCAGCAGCUCCUCCACCUCGCCGGACGACGACUGCGGCGCCGACACGUCGUACUCCUUGCCGAACACGAACCGCAUGAUGUAGUAGAGCGAGGCGCGGCGGAGGACCCCGCGCAGCUCCACCACGCCCGCCCCGGCGCCGCGCAGCGCCGCGACCACGUCGCCGGCGACGCGCGCGCGGUACGGCGUGAAGGCGUCGACCUGCCUCGGGCCGAACAGGUGGCCCGACGCGACGCGGCGGAGCGCGCGCCAGUAGGGCCCGUGCUCGGCGAAGCCGAUGGAGCGGUGGAACAUGAGGCCGUAGGCGGCGUGGUUGAGCGGGCGCGCGGCGAAGGCCGGGUUGUCGAGGAUCUCCUUGGCGACGUCCGGGUGGGACGCGACGACGGCGCGGACGGGGCCGAGCGACAGCGCCAUGAGCCGCUUGGCCCCGGGCCGGCGCGCCGCCUCGGCGGCCAGCGAGCGGUGCGCCAGCCCGGACAUGAGCCCCAGGCUGCCGACGACGGGGAGCCCCUUCGGGCCCGGGAUGGCACGUCGUAGCCCCGCGCCCUGGCCCCUGCCCCGCCAGUACCGGCCCCAUGCAGGCCCGCCCGGGUGCGCCCAGUAGAGCAGCGCGGCGGCCGCCCACGCGAGGCACGCGAGGACGGCGAGGUAGGCGAAGCUGGUGGCCACGGCGGCGAGUGUGGUGGUGGUGCCGUCGUGCUGGCCGCCGGAGAUGGCCGGGAGCAAGGUGAGGGGAAGCACCCACCAGCUCUGGACUGAGCUCUCCAUUUUCGGACUUUGCUGCGGUGCGUGCUGCCUGUGAGGGAAGCCGCUGCACGGGGGCGGUAUUUAUAGGAGCUAGCCAGCUCGCCGGACCGGAGCGAAGAUUCACCGUCACUGGCGCGCGCGGUCCUUGUAAGCAAAGAUGAUCCAAUCAUUGGCACAUAAAAUACUAGAGAAUUGCACUAGUGGGCUGGCAUUGGCCCCUCUGGUUUUCCCGCCGGCCAGCCUUUGGUUGGUAACUCAGUUUGGAGGCUAGGCAUGCACCCCCCUAGGAACUCACUCGCAUAUAUGAUCUACUACUCCUACUUGCUACUAGUAUAACUUUGUGUAGUUAAUUCAUUCUUUGCUAGCAUAUGAAGGAAGGAACUUCGUGGAACUAGCUUAGCCUUGUGCAAAUGCACUAUUAGUAUAACACUACUUACUACUCACUCCGUUCCUAAAUGUAAGUCUUUUUAGAGUGUAGAUUCACUCAUUUUGCUCCGUAUGUAGUGCAUAUUGGAAUCUCUAAAAAGACUUAUAUUUAGGAACGGAGGGAGUAUUUGUUAGUAGUAUAAGGCAGCUAGCAUCUCUGCUACGUACGUAUAGAUAGGUCUAGAGAGGUCGAUCGAUCGGUGCGUGUUAACAUGUUGAUGACACAUAUCAAUAUACCUUUUCUUCUCUUGAGAUGAUAUCAUGUGUACGUGGGUUUUGUGUGUGGAUUUGUGCAAUCAUUGGUGCGUGGCAUGGCAUGAGGUCUCCUGUGUGGAUCACGUAGGGGAGCCUGGCUAGGUUGGAGUUGGACUAAUGAUAUGCACCACCACAGUCCACAGUUGGUGUGUACUCAUAGUAAACAACAGGAGUUAGGCUCCAUCCAUGUGUCACACACCCUUGGUCUAUGAUUACCAAUAGCCCAUCGCAGUAUCAUAACCUGUCUCCACGAUGGAUCGAGGUGGUCAGUCAGCAGCGUGCGUACCUGCUGGGCUGGCUGGGGUAGUUACGCUGAAAGUGGCAGAAACCAUUUUCAACAUGGGCCGGAGGAUGGCGCCGACUUGUGUUCCAGAGCAGGCAGUGAUUCGAUUGGAGAAUCAAGGCGCUACGGUCGGUCUAUUAAGCUGUAUCUUUUUUUUUUAAACAAAUGGACUUUAUUCAACGGAAAUAACAGAUACAUUGUUUGUGAGGAAAGGUACAAUCUCAAACAUAGGCUCCUCAAACCAAUCAAUGGUAGAAGAAAAUUUAGCCAACCUAGCAAGCUCGUGCGCAACCUUAUUGGCUUCCCUAUUACAAUGUUCAAACCUAGAGGUAGGAAAAUCACACGCCAAAAAAUAGCAAUCAUCAAAGAUUGCCGCCGCCGCUCCUGCUGACCGUCCGCCGUUAUUCAUCGUUUCAAUAACCUCCAAAUUAUCAGAAUUAAUAACUAGGCGAUUGCAACCCGCACGUUGCGCUAGUGAAAGACCGAAUCUGAGAGCCCAAGCUUCCGCUGUUAGAGCAUCGAUGCAAUGAUCAAUUUUCCAAGUACCCCCUGCAAUAAACUUCCCUUUGUCGUUCCUCAGGACAGCCCCCGCCGUACCUUUAAGAAGAUCAUGAUCAAAAGAAGCGUCAACAUUAAGUUUCACAAAACCCACCGGGGGACGAAUCCAACCCCCUCUUUUCAUAGAAGCCCUUGGACUGGAAGCAACAACAUAAUUAGUCGUAAGAGCUUGUAUCCCCAUUGAAAUCUGUUUUGCAUCUUGAAUUCUCUCCUUGUGCACUAAUUUACGUCUUUCCCACCAUAAAUACCAAGACGUAAUGGCAAUCAUCUCCCGAGUAUUCUGGAACCCCAUAAUAGAUAAAUCUUGGUCAGGCAUGAGCAACAAAAACUCGAGGACCGCCUCUCCAGCACGAUCAACUUCACAAGCUUGAGCAAUGAUCUCGUCUAAUCCAAGCCUUCUCCAGACCUCUUUUGCCUUCUGGCACUGAAACAACAUAUGCUUUGUGUCUUCUAAACCAGAAGCACAACAAGGGCAUAAAGGUGAAACUUUCAUGUGUCUAUUAGCAAGCGUAACACGACAUGGAAGAGUACCAUGCAGCGUCCGCCAAAUAAAAAAAGUUCACCUUCGCUGGACAAGAUAACUUCCAAAUCUUACACCAAAUUGGAUUAAAGUUUGUUCGACCCAUUCCAUUAGUACGACGAAGUUUCCUUCCAUGUUGAUAAUCCCACUCAAAAAAAUAUGCAGAUCGAACAGAAAAAAUCCCACUCUUUGUAUGACUCCAGGCAACAAAAUCUAACAUAUCAAACUGAGGCAGAGGGAUAGCAAGGACCCGCUGUAAAUCAACAGGCCACAAGGUCUGUCUGAUGAGAUCCUCAUCCCACCUAUUCGAAGAGGGGUCAAUGAGAUCAGACACUUUUGAUAACAAAUGUUGUCCCUUUGGAGUGAUGACUUUCCUGUUAGCAUAGUUAGGGAUCCAAGCAUCUUCCCAAAUGUCAAUUUUCUGACCAUUUCCAAGACGCCAAAUAUAGCCAUGUUUUAAGGUAUUAACCCCCGCCAUAAUACUUUGCCAUGUGAAGGAUGAUCCCUUUUUUAACUUUGCGUUCAAUAAAUCUCCAUCAGGAAAAUACUUAGCUCGCAAAAUGGUGGCACACAAGGAAUCUGGGUUCUCAAGGAGACGCCAAGCUUGUUUAGCCAACAUCGCCAAAUUAAAACAAUGAAUGUCACAAAAACCCAUUCCACCUUGGCUUUUCGGGACACACAUUUUCCACCACGCCAUCCAAUGCAUCCUUCUCUGGUUGUCGUCAUCACCCCACCAAAAAUGCGACAUCUCGUCAGUUAUUCCUUUACAAUCUUUUUAGGAAUUUUAAAGACCGACAUAGCAUAAGUUGGGAUAGCUUGAACAACAGACUUGAGAAGAACUUCCUUGCCUCCAGUGGAUAAGAGUUUUUCUUUCCAUCCGCUAAUUCUCAUAACAAUGCGAUCAAUCAGAUAUUGGAAACAAUCAGUCUUAUCUAACCCCACAUGCGCAGGCAGGCCCAGAUACUUAUCAUUGAGAGCUUCGAUCAUGAUAUUUAAAAUUGAGCAAAUUUGUUCUCUAAUGUCCCCACUCGUAUUUGGGCUAAAAAAUAUGCUAGAUUUUUCAACGCUCACCAUUUGUCCAGACGCAGCACAAUAUAAGUCCAAAAUUGAUUUAAGUGUCUCCGCAUUUUGUUGAUUAGCUUUCAUGAGGAUUAAUGAGUCAUCCGCAAAAAGGAGAUUUGUGAUAGUAGGGGCCUCUCUACAAACCUUGACUCCUGAAAUAUCAAUCUCCUCCGCAUGCGCCAAGAGAGCAGUAAGGCCCUCCGUGCAUAAUAAGAAAAGGUAGGGAGAUAAUGGAUCACCUUGUCUUAAGCCCCUAGUAGGCUUGAAACUUUCAGUUUCUUCAUCAUUAAUCCGUACCCUAUACUCAACAGUAGAGACACAUUUCAUAAUAAGAUUUACCCAUCUCUCCUGGAAACCGAGUUUCAGCAUAAUUCCCUUCAAAAAAGGCCAUUCGACUCGAUCGUAAGCUUUGUGCAUAUCAAGCUUGAUAGCGCAUAAACCCUCUUUUCCCACCCUCUUAUUUUUAAUAGUAUGAAAGCUCUCAUAAGCCACUAAAACAUUGUCUGUAAUCAAUCUACCAGGCACAAAAGCACUUUGGGUUGGGCUGAUAAUAUCAGGUAGUAAAACCUUCAAACGCGCCGACAACAUUUUGGAGAUAAUUUUGUAUACCACAUUGCAAAGACUGAUAGGUCUAAACUGGGUUACCUUCUCGGGUGAGUUGACCUUGGGAAUCAACACAAUCGCAGUAUCAUUCCAACCCGGUGGAAUUGUACAAGUAUUCACUGCUUUCAAGACCUCAUCCACCAAAUCAUCCCCUAGCAUGGGCCAAAAUCUUUUAUAAAAAAUAGCAUGAAGACCAUCUGGCCCCGGAGCCUUUAAAUCGCCAAUAUCAAAAAGAGCCUUACGAACAUCAUCAGCAGUAUAAGGGGCGAGCAGAGCACUAUUCAUCUCAGUAGUCACUCUACUCCGGACAAGAGACAAAACUUCCUGAUUUGGGUAUAAAACCUCCGAUGUAAAAAGAUUGGAGAAAUAACCCAUAAUAUGUUCCUUCAGAUCAUUUCCUUGUUUCCAAACCCCAGUAUCAUCCAGAAGUCUUCUAAUAUUGUUUCUUUUUUUUCCUAGCCAUUGCAGCGUUAUGAAAAAAAGAAGUAUUACGGUCCCCAUGUAGCAACCAGUUCGCUCGACCUCUCUGUAACCAAAAAAUUUCCUCUUGGUCCAAAAGAUUUUCAAUGAGUACUAGAAUUUCCUUUUGCCUUGAGCGGGACUCACCACUAAUAGGACCACGUUUCAGCCUCUCUAGUUCUUUUUUUAACUUAUUUAUUCUUCUCUGUGGUCCUUUCAAAGUAAUUCGGUCCCAAGAAUGUAAAUCAUCAUGCACCGCUCUAGUCCGUGCUGCGAGAGAGGGACCAAUACCCGCCAACUUUGCUUUUUCCCAAGCAGUCUUCACAAUCUCCUCAACAGUAUCUUCUUUCAGCCAUUUUGCUUCAAAUUGUCUCACACGACCAUUCCGACAAUUAAACAAGUUACUAUCAAAAUAAUCUGUGUCAAGAAUUAACGGACGAUGGUCUGAGUGUACAUGCUCCCCAUUAAUAAUCGCCGCACGCGGAAAUUUGUUUGCCCAUUCUAUAUUACAUACAGCUCGAUCAAGCCUUUCACGGAUGUCCCCCCUUCUCGAAGUGAAUGGAUCACCAACAGAGCCCAUAUCCUCCAGGUUACAAUCACUCAAACACUUACGGAAUUCCUGCAUCAUUUCAUUUGGUCUAGCAUUGCCACCUUCUUUUUCGCUAGAGUAGAUAAUUUCAUUAAAAUCUCCAAUGACUACCCAAGGAUAAUCAGCAAGGGAAUGCAGUUGGCGAAGAUCUGCCCAAGAUAAAUAUUUUUCAUUCCAUGCCGGAUAACCAUAGAAACCCGUAAAGCGCCAAUUUACAGAAUUAUCAUUCAUAAAUACAACAUCAAUAAAAUGGGAAGACAAAUAGUUCAACUCGACUUUAUUCUCUUUUUGAUAAAAAAGGACAAGACCACCAGACUUGCCAUCACUCUCAUCUAAAAACAUGGAACUAAAACCUAAGAUACAACGUAGCUCGUCAGCUUUACUUUUAUUCAAAUGCGACUCGGAAAGAAAAAUCAACUCCGCACAAUUACGACCUUGGAGCUCCCGGAGCUCUCGAACUGCCGUGGAAGACAACAUUCCACGGCAGUUCCAACUAAUUGCUCUCAUUUCUCCUGGCGGUCCUCCGGAGCGGAGGCCGCCAAAUCAGUGCCCACAACAUCGUCCUCUCCAAUUGACUCCUUCCUUUGCUGAGUAUAAACCUCCUCCUCCUCUUUUUCCUUCACUACAUGCGUAAUAAUCCCAUCCACAUCCCUCCUAGUUUCAACUCUACCCAUACAAACUCUCUUUGAGGAAACACUCGUCUCACCAUACAACAGACGUUCAUAGCUAUCCAUCUCUCUCUCAAAAGAAAAAUUUAAAUCACUACCCGUUUGUGGGGCAUCAAAAGGGUUACUCCUCUUUUUCCCUAUGCUUUGAGUUCUAUCACUCUCUGACUUCUCCUUUCCUCCCUUCUUUCUAUCCUUUCUCUCUUUCUUCUUUUUCUGACCCUGCAUGGUAAUUUUAUCAGCAGCAAAAGUAAAUACUCCCGUAUCAUUGCCCGUGUUCUGGUCAGCCAGCCUUGCCGCAACUGCCCCUGAGAGUGCCUCCAGUACGCCUGGCUUGAACAACAACAUGUCCUGCAGAUUUUUUGCGCCAGCCGCAUCAUCAGAAUUAGAAGCAGCAACCGGCAGGAUGAGCCCCUGGUUCCCUCGGAUUGCCGCAUCGAACAUGCUGCCGUUAGCAUGCACCAGAGCCGGCGAUGGAGUAGACGUCCCCACUCGGUGCUCGAGCACAUGGCCCUCCUGGCCGUGCUUAGCACCAAUGGAAGAGCCGCCCCCCGCCUCCUUUCCCUGGCCCGCCUGGCCAGAGAGAGCAGAGGGCCUCGGAAGAGUUUGUUGGUGCUCCUGACCAGAACCAGCGCCUGGGUGGAGCGGUGUUGGAGCCCCAUACACCCGGCCCUCCUGGCCGAGCGUGACGCCCUCCUGGGUUGGCCCACCAAACGCCGCAGCGGCAAGCGUCGUUGUCGUCGUAGUGAUCAUAUCCGUGACCGUGAGGUUAGCCACGGCUUUGGUCACCUUGACCACACUCUUUUCCGCAGCUCUAGAGUAGUUGUUGCUGUUGGAGCCGGUGAACAAAAGUGUUCUUUUACUUGCCCCUGUUCCCUUCCAAUAUGCCUCUACACUAAGAUUCUUUGGAAAAGAAACAACCCUUUUAUCCUUAGGUAUACUACAAUAGCGCUCUGAGGUAUGUCCUACAAUCCCACAGCACUCACAGUACAAAGGAAGUUUCUCAUAUCUAACAUCAUACUUAACACUCUCAGAACUACCCAAAGGAGUGAAUUCUACUCUUGUCUUAAGAGGUUCAUGCAGAGGGAUUUCCACCCUUAUACGAAGAUAUUUCUCUACAAUUAAGUGAUCUCUAUGGGAAACAGCAAUCACAUCCCCAAUUUGUUCUCCUAAAGUCCAGCCCAUGCGCUCAGUUUUGAGUUCAAAAUCUAGAUCACGAACCUGCACCCAUACUGGCAUUACGCCAAGGUCAACCUCUGCUGGGUUUCCCUUGCCGUCGAACUCGGCGAAGAUGACUCCAUCACGCUUAUGGUGCCAUGGCUGGGCCUUCAAAAUGAACCGCCGGUCCUCCUCGGCGGAAAAGUUCAGGACGAACCUCCCGUCCUCGCUGGCCACAUCUUGAACAGUGACCGUUCCGUGCAGCCUCCAUGCUGAACAAGCCCGAAGCUCAUCGACUAUGACCUGCGGGUUCACUUGGAAGGGCGAAAGAAGCCGCCCCACCACCCGUGAUCCACCGAUAGCCUCCCGCGCGGCCUCCAUGUCGAUAAUCAGAGCCGAGCCAUCGCCACGGGGGCGCCUCGGCAUCGACUUCCCCUUACUCUCAGGGGUCAUGGAAGGGGCAGUGGCCACCUUCAUCCCCAGCUGGUGGAGAGAGGAUUCAGCAGCCGUGGCAUCCGUCAUCACCCUCGAUCCCUCUCCACUCGCAAGUGUUUUCCCCAAAACAUUGCUCACACUCCCUCCAUGACCCGCCAUAGCACACUCCCCUCGAUCACGGCUGAUGGUAGAAAGAACAGAAAGCAGAAGAAAAUUCACUGGCAAGAACAAAGGCGAGGGAUGACCUCUCUCUGUACCACAAAUAUAGCAUGCCAGGAUCCCCUUCCACCCCGUAUCAAAUCCUGUUAGCGUCGGUAGGGACCCAGAGAGCUGCUGCCCUAGGGGGUAGGUGUAGCGGCAGUUAAAAGUACUGCCAAGAUGUGUCCCUGUCCCAACACACUUGAGCAUGCAUGCACGAGGUUCACCGGAAAACACGAAGCAACCCGGAGCGUAUCCCGGGCCAGCGUGAGUGAAGAGAGGCCGACACCGAUCGGCCGCCGACAGGACAAUUUUACCACCUCAACAUCAUCUGACAAACAGACAAAGAAUUGACCCGGGGCUGCUACGUCGCCUCGGCUGACUUCUGGUUGCUAAGAGCGGGCCGACCCAAACGAACGGCGUUUUCGUCCGUUUUUUGUCCGUUUGGGUCAGCCGCCCGUCUGGCGUCUGCCCUGUUUUUGAUAUGGGUCAGCAGCGCGUCCAACGCGCCGACCAAUAUGUGCCGGCGUGGUCGCCCAAUUUUAUAUUGAUUUGCAUUCAACAUAUUAUCAAAUGAAAAUGUUUUACAAGCCAAAUAGUCUGGCUGCCUAAAUAAAUAAUACAAAUAAAAAUGUUUCACAUAGUUUUACAAACGAAUAAAAGAAGAUGCAUCUAUUGGUUGCCAAUAUGAGCCCACAUAUGCUCAACCAAAUCAUUUUGUAGUUGCACGUGAGUUUCCCAAUCGCGCAUGUCUUCAUGAAAUUGAGUGAACUGCUCAAAUGUUGCCGCUACUCCAUGCUCAGGCACAACAUUCUCACCCUGAAAUUCAAAGCCUUGAUCGUACAGACUUUCCGGGCGCUCGUCUUCUAUGAUCAUAUUGUGCAUGAUCACACAAGCAGUCAUAACCUCCCACAGUUUCUGCAUGCUCCAAGUAUUAGUAGGAUACCGAACGAUGCCCCAUCGAGAUUGAAAAACACCAAAGGCACGCUUGACAUCCUUCCUAGCACUCUCUUGCUCUUGGGCAAAUCUUUUCCUUUUCUCUCCGACAUGGUUGGGUAUUGUCUUGACAAUAGUGGUCCACUGAGGAUAGAUACCAUCACCCAGAUAGUACCCUUUGUCGUAGUUGUGGCCGUUGACAGUAAAGUUCACCGGUGGGCUGUUGCCUUCGGCAAGCCUAGCAAACACCGGCGAGCGCUGAAGCACGUUGAUAUCAUUGUGUGAUCCAGCCAUGCCAAAGAAAGAGUGCCAGAUCCAGAGAUCUUGAGAUGCCACGGCCUCUAGUAUGACAGUGCAAGCCCUGACAUGUCCCUUAUACUGCCCUUGCCAAGCAGAAGGGCCGUUCUUCCACUCCCAGUGCAUGAAGUCUAUGCUGCCAAGCAUCCCCGGGAAGCCCCUGCUGGCAUUCAUCACCAACAAAUGGGUUGUAUCUUCAGCUGUCGGCUCUCUCAAGUACUCAGGGCCAAACACAGCAAUAACAGCCUUGCAGAACUUAUACAGUGACUCUAGGAAUGUAGACUCGCUCAUACGGACGUACUCGUCAAUGAAAUCACCGGGCACUCCGUAUGCAAGAAUUCAGAUGGCGGCGGUGCAUUUCUGAUAAGAGGAGAAACCGAUCUUGCCGACGGCAUCCUCUUUGCACUUGAAGUAGUCAUCAUAGCCGACCACUCCCUCUCUAAUACGGUUGAAAACAUGCCUACUUAUACGGAAACGGCGGCGGAAUUUGUGAUGUUUGAACAGCGGGUUUGUUGUAUCAAAGUAGUCCUUCCAGAGAAGGAAAUGCCCGCUCUCUCGGUUGCGAUUCAACGCCGGAAGGUGGCCCGGAAUGGAGCCAUGGAACAACGGCCGCUGGCUGUUGAGGUGGUGAUGGACCAACACGGCAGCCAAUAUCUCCUCCUCGUCGUCGGACGACGAAUCGUCGGAGUCGCAAAGGAAAAUGUGAAAAAAGAACUCGUCAGCGGAGUCCAUUUCAUACCUUGACAAACUGUCAAACAGCUUGCGGGCGUUGAAGAAGGAGACGGCCGGCAAGGGGAGUCCCGGCGCCCACAGACCAGCUAGCUGCCCUGCCGGCGUCCGAUGAGUGUGACGGCGUCCGACGAGCGUGCCGGUCGGAUGUGGCAGGGGCGGCGAGGCGGCUUCUUGGUCGCGGGCGGCUGUGCGGUGCGGUGGGGGGAAGCGGCGGUGGGAAGCAGUUUGCUCCCCGGCGGCAAAACGGCGGCGAGGGCGAUGGGGGGAGGGGCGGCGUUGCUGGGCGGAUGUGGAUGCGGCGGCAGCUGGAAGAGUCGCCGGCAAAAAUGGGCGGCAGCGUCGGCGACGGAGGAGGCGGGCGAGGGUGGCCUGUUGGCCGGGGGGUGCGAGGGGAGGCCAAUGUGCCACAGACCAGCGGGCCCGGGGAGAGGAGUAGGCGAGCGCCCGCGCGUCCGUCACGUGUCCGCGCCGACGCAAAUCCGGCUAAAAAAUGGGACGGGAAUGGGUCGCCCGCGAACGAAAAACGGACGUGCGUCCGUCUGGGUCGGCGCGUUGGGCUGUCUUUUGUGUCCGCGCCAAUCCAAAUGGACGGCCGCAGACGAAAUGGGUCGCCCCAUUAGAGUUGCUCUAAGGCUGAUCAUAGAUCAUAGUGAAGACUAAUUUAGACUAGUAACAUGCAUGUUUUACUAAUUCAUAGGUCAUAGUGGCAUCCACGAGUCACACCCCUUCAUAGUGGAGAGUAACUUACCAUGCAUGUUUUACUAACAUGCAUGGUCAUGUGUGUGUUGUUACCACUUAUAUUACUCUCAGUGAUAAUCUAACACGAUCUAUACCGGUGUCACUGGCCGCGCUGCCGCGCCUGCUCGGUGACCGUAUGGGGACAAGACGACAGACCCGGCCGGUCGACCAAGGUGACAAUGCAAGCUGCCUCGAUCGGCUCGGCCAUCGGCAUGGCAUCCAUCUGUGAUCUGUGUGAGGAAGAAGCCAAUGCCAACGCCAACGGGCGCGGGUUUUCUUUUCUCAUGUACCCAUCCCACAUGCAUACGUGCAUAACGAGCAGGCCGUGCAUCGCACAUGCAUGGAUCAUGGGUUCACGAGGGAAAUGCAUGAUAGUACGCAAUCCAACGUCUGAAAACACAUUCAUGUCCAAGGAACAAGACUGACUGUCGUUGUAUGACUCAUUCUUCUAUCCACACAUACAGUGGCGGAGCUACAAGCAGAAUUAUGGGCGGGCCAGAUUGAACCUGGGCUACAGCUGGGCUGGUGCUACGGACCUGUGUUGCAGUACGUGGGCUGGGCCUAUCUACAGAAUUGUAUUUUUACAGAAAACAUGGGCGGGCCACGGCCUGGUUUGGCCCCAGGCCCGGUCCUGAGAUUUCGGGGGCCCGGGGCAAGAUAACAAAAUGGGGCCCUAAACCCACAUACUUUUUUUUCUAUUUCAAAUGCAAGUGAAUACUCAUGACACUAGAACUUAUGUUGCCUUGUCAUGUCGACUAUUUAGAAAAACUGGGGUCAUAAUCAUUCACAUAAAAUUUGGUCGCUCUUGUUAAUCAAUAGUUAUAUAUUUUUCCAUUAGGUGAAUUAACCUUCGGUGCCAACUAAUAUUUUUAUCAUCCUAUAACUUUUCGCUAGGUUGUUAUUCAACAGUAACUAACUAAAGCUAAUUCCUCAAAAACCCUAGCAGAAGUACUUACUUUAUUUGCGGGGAAUUAGUAGAUGUACUUUUCUGGCACUCAAUAAACUCAUCUGCAUGUUCUCUUUUUUCUUCUCAUUGUUAGAUGAUACUUUCCAGAUAAAAUCUUGCUAAAUUAAUAGAAUUCGUGCUACUAGUUAGCACACAAACAUACAAUACAAGAAAUUAAGAACACUGCCAAUUGAAUACUAUAUAAAUAGUAAGAAAGAGGCAUGGAGCGAUGUACCUGGAUGGCUAGAAAUUAAAAAUUGCAAGCUUUUGCUUCUGCUUGCUAGUCACGAACAGAAGCCCCAGUUUCCAUUUUCUAUUCCCAAACAAUACAAGAAAUUAGAGUGUGAGAGAGAUAUGUACGAGGAUUAACUUCACGAACCGAGCAAUCUGACAUGACUAAAAAGAGGAGAUUUGCGUUGAAGAGGAGGUUAAUGGAAUCUUCGAAAAUCACAAGUAGAUGACGCAGGCGACCUUGGCAAUAGCAUGGCUGUUUCGUUCCAGAGAUGAAGUAGAAAGACGAGAAGACCACGCGCGUGCGGUAAGGCCGGAAUUAAUCGAUCUGUUAUAGUUCUUUCCCUUUUUGAGAAUCAGUCAAUCUGUUACAUGGAAAAGACUUAUUUCCUAAACAUCACGCAUGCAAAAAAUCAGUCGAUAUGUAACAUACGAAAUAAUCCAUUACCUUUUAAGAGUCAGUCAAUCUGUUAACAUGGGAAAGAAUUCUUUCCUAAAAAUCACAAGUGUUUCCUAAAUAUCCCAACGUAAGGGAACAAAGUGAUUAGUCAUCGGGGGCCCUUCCUAGUCGGGGGCCCGGGGCGGCCGCCCCCUCUGCCCCCCCUCAAGGCCGGCCCUGUUUGGCCCUAACAUAUAUAGCUCCACCAGUGCACACAUAUAUGAAAGGCCAUCUCCAACGCAAACAACUCUAACCCUCAAAUCGGACACCGUAUUCGUUCACAGACAAUGUUGCAGGAGUUCCUCAUUCAAAGCUAGCCGUAAACAGUGGCGGAGACAGGGGACCAGCAGGGCCCUGGCUCCCCCCUAACAUCAGUGAUUUACUACUAAUUUGCUUAUGAACAACACAUGUUUAAUGAUUGUUUUCUUCCGAAAGCUCAUUUUUCAGUGUGGCCCUCCCCAGCCUGUUUAGCAUCAUUUGGCCCCCUUAAUCAAAAUUUUCCGGCUCCGCCACUGGUCGUAAAUGUCCAGUUACAAUUCGAGCGAAAUUUCACGACAGUGAAAAAAUUUGAUGCACUAGUAUACGCUUUGUGGAACUACCUUAACCCUGUAUAAGUACACUAGCAUACUCUUGUUAGUAGUAUAGAACUAUAGAUAGGCCUAGAGAGGUCGACCGGUACGUAGGAGUUAACACGUCGAUAGCUACUACGAAUAUACCAUGCUUUUAGUACGUUGUGUAGUUGGAUUUGUGCAGUUAUUGAUGCGUGGCAUGAGGUCUGUGGAUGUGGAUCACGGCCGGGAGUCUAGCUAGGUUGGACUAAUAAUGUGCACCACCCUAGUUGAUUAGUCGGUGUGUAAGACUGCUCACAAUGGGAAGUAAUAUAGAGUAGUAACUUGGCGAUGUUACUAGUCUAUGUUACUACCUUCAUAGUGAGUAGUAACAUAUGAGUGAUAUCAUGAAAGAGUUUAUUUAUUAGGCUAUAGACUCAUUAUGCCUUGAAAUGUGUGAUGUUACAGUAACUAGCUAAGUUACCACAAACCCCUCUCUCCUCAUUAAUUAGCUGCCACAUAAGCAAUCUUGUAUUGAAAUGUGUGAUGUUACUAGUUAAGUUACUCCCAUUAUGACUAGUCUAAAAAACAAGAGUUAGGCUCCAUCCACGUGUCACACACCCUUCAUUUAUUGGUUGAGCAGUUACGCUGAAAGUAAGCACAGACCAUUUUUCAUCCAUUUUCAAGAUCGACCAGAAGAUCCCGCCGACUUGUGUGUUCCAGAUCAGUGAUUGGAGAAGUUACUAAUUAGGCUAGACACCCGAAAAAAAAAAAC